Molecule: ribosomal RNA, 3258 nt
Filed under: Hydra vulgaris (swiftwater hydra)
Lineage: Eukaryota; Metazoa; Cnidaria; Hydrozoa; Anthoathecata; Hydridae
Description: eukaryotic LSU rRNA
Rfam family: Eukaryotic large subunit ribosomal RNA
Source: RNAcentral
AUUUUUGACUAUAUUUAAAGAUGCUAUUUUUGUGUAAUAUGAGCAUGCUCAAGUUACUAAGUGUUUUUCAUUAAAAUAACUUAGUUUAAAGUCCUAAAAUGGCAGUGGUGUUAAUUGCUUCUUGAAUAAAAACAAAACAUAGUAAAAAAUGUUUAAUAUUUUAACAAUACUAAAUAUUUUUCUGUAACUUAAAUUUAAAAAAUUUGAAUUAAUAAAAUUGAAAAAAUAACGUAUUAAUUUUUUUUUUUUUUUUUUUUUUGCAUAGUAGUAUUAAUAUAGUAGUAUUGUUUCAACAAAAUGUAGCUUAAAAUUUGAUCUUUUAAUGAUAAGUUUUGUUAAUCAAGAAUGUUUAUAUUCCAAAAACUUGUUCUAUUACUCAGGUUGGUCUUUUAUAAUUAAUUUUUUAUUAAUCUCGGCUUUUUAUUAGUCUCGGCGAUCUCGGCUUCGACAGAGGAGUCGGUAUUUGCGGCACGCGCUGCCCUUUCACGAGGGCGGCUGAUCGCUCCAGUUGCUUGUCGAUCAGGGCGGACUGCUUACAGUGCGCUCGAACUGCUGGUGAUUGCUUUUGACGGCGAGAUCUGCACACGCUUCGUGCUCAGGUUUUUGGCGGUCAUAUGAUUUCAUGCGACCCGUUUUGAAACACGGACCAAGGAGUCUAACAUGUGUGCGAGUCUUCAGGUGACUGAAACCCUCGGACACAAUAAAAGUAAAGGCUCGCGAGAGCUGAAGUGAGAUCUUGCCGCACUCCAAUGCGGUAAGCGCAUCAUUGACCGACCUAUUCUACUCUUAGAAAGGUUUGAGUAAGAGCACAUCUGUUGGGACCCGAAAGAUGGUGAACUAUGCUUGAGUAGGGUAAAGCCAGAGGAAACUCUGGUGGAGGCUCAUAGCAAUUCUGACGAGCAAAUUGAUCGUCAAACUUGAGUAUAGGGGCAAAAGACUAAUCAAACCAUCUAGUAGCUGGUUCCGAAGUUUCCCUUAGGAUAGCUGGAACUCGGAACAGUUUUAUCAGGUAAAGCGAAUGAUUAGAGGCCUUAGGGUUGAAACAACUUUAACUUAUUCUCAAACUUUAAAUUGGUACGAAGCCCGACUUGCUCGAUUGAAGUAGAGCACAGAAUGAGAGUUCUUAGUCGGCCAAUUUUAGUAAGCAGAACUGGCGAUGCGGGAUGAACCGAACACAGAGUUAAGGCGCCUAAAUCGACGCUCAUUAGACCCCACAAAAGGUGUUGGUUGAUCCAGACAGCAGGAUGAUAGCCAUGAAAGUCGGAACCCGCUAAGGAGUGUGUAACAACACACCUGCCAAAUGAACUAACCCUGAAAAUGGAUGGCGCUCAAGCGUCGUGCCUAUACUCUGCCGUCAAGGCAAACGGUUAAGCUUUAACGAGUAGGAAGGCAUGGGGGUCGUGACACAGCCUUUGGCGUGAGCCUGGGUGAAAUGGCCUCUAGUGUAGAUUUUGGUGGUAGUAGCAAAUAUUCUAAUGAGAACUUUGAAGACCAAAGUGGAGAAAAGUUCCAUGUGAACAGAAGUUGGACAUGGGUAAUUCGAUCCUAAGAGAUAGGGAAACUCCGUUUUAAAGUGUCCGAUCUCGGACCUAACUAUCAAAAGGGAAUCGGGUUAAUAUUCCCGAACCGGAACGCGGAUAAUCUACCGUCUCGGCGUUAGACGUGCGGCAACGCAACUGAACUCGGAGACGUUGCAAAGGAGCCCUGGGAAGAGUUCUCUUUUCUUGUUAACGGCCUGACACCAUGGAAUCUGAUUGCCAGGAGAUAUAGUUUAACGGUCGGUAAAGCACUACACUUCUUGUAGUGUCCGGUGCGCUCCUGACGGCCCUUGAAAAUCCAAGGGAAAGACUGAUUUUCGCGUCCUUUUGUACUCAUAACCGCAGCAGGUCUCCUAGGUUAGCAGCCUCUGGUCCAUAGAACAAUGUAGGUAAGAGAAGUCGGCAAAAUAGAUCCGUAAUUUCGGGAAAAGAUUUGGCUCUAAGAAUUGGGUCUGUCGGGCUGAGACUUUAAGCGAGUGGCACCAACCUGGGCUGGCUCGCGGCCUCUUCGGCUCAUAUCGCAGGGGCUGUGGGUUGGAAUGGGAAGGAACCGCUCGUGGAUUGGUCCUGCUUUGCUCGCGAGAGCAGUUCGGCAGGCGAUUGACAAUCGACUUAACCUGGUACGGACAAGGGGAAUCCGACUGUUUAAUUAAAACAAAGCAUUGCGAUGGCCGUCAACGGUGUUGACGCAAUAUGAUUUCUGCCCAGUGCUCUGAAUGUCAAAGUGAAGAAAUUCAACCAAGCGCGGGUAAACGGUGGGAGUAACUAUGACUCUCUUAAGGUAGCCAAAUUCCUCGUCAUCUAAUUAGUGACGCGCAUAAAUGGAUUAACGAGAUUCCCACUGUCCCUAUCUACUAUCUUGCGAAACCACAGCUAAGAGAACAGGCUUGGCAAAAUCAGCGGGGAAAAAAGACCCUGUUGAGUUUGACUCUUGUCUGACUCUGUGAAAAGACAUAGGAGGUGUAGGAUAGGUGGGAGGCAGCAACGUCGAAAGUGAAAUACCACUACUCUUAUUGUUUUUUUACUUAAUCGAUUGAGCGGAGGCGGGCUUCACAGCCCAAUUUCUAGAAUUAAGGCCCCGUCGGCGGGUCGAUCUGUGUCAAAGACACUGUCAGGUUGGGAAUUUGGCUGGGGCGGCACAUCUGUCAAAUGAUAACGCAGGUGUCCUAAGGUAAGCUCAAGGAGGACAGAAAUCUCAUGUAGAACAAAAGGGUAAAUGCUCACUUGAUUUUAAUUUUCAGUAUGAAUGCAAACUGUGGAAGCAUGGCCUAUCGACCCUUUAGUGUUUAGGAGUUUUAAGCUAGAGGUGUCAGAAAAGUUACCACUGGGAUAACUGGCUUGUGGCAGACAAGCGUUCAUAGCGACGUUGCUUUUUGAUCUUUCGAUGUCUGCUCUUCCUAUCAUUUUGAAGCAUAAUUCACCAAGUGUUAGAUUGUUCACCCACUAAUAGGGAACGUGAGCUGGGUUCAGACCGUCGUAAGACAGGUUAGUUUUACCCUACUGAUGAAAUGUUGUUGCAAUAGUAAUUCUGCUCAGUACGAGAGGAACCGCAGAUUCAGACAAUUGGCAUUUGCACUUGCUUGAAAAGGCAUCAGCGUGAAGCUACCAUCUGUUGGAUUAUGACUGAAUGCCUCUAAGUCAGAAUCCGUGCUAGAAAGCAAUGAUAAUUACCUCUGGAAAAUCUUAGGCGAACAAGAAUAGGGCCCUGCAAAGGGCUUGU